GAUGAACGCUAGCUACAGGCUUAACACAUGCAAGUCGAGGGGUAACGAGAGGGAAGCUUGCUUUCCUUGUCGACGACCGGCGCACGGGUGAGUAACGCGUAUCCAACCUGCCCCCAACUAGGGAAUAACCUUGCGAAAGUAAGACUAAUACCCUAUAAUUUCCUCAGAUGUCAUCUGACGAGGAAUAAAGAUUUAUCGGUUGUGGAUGGGGAUGCGUCUGAUUAGCUUGUUGGCGGGGUAACGGCCCACCAAGGCAACGAUCAGUAGGGGUUCUGAGAGGAAGGUCCCCCACAUUUGAACUGAGACACGGUCCAAACUCCUACGGGAGGCAGCAGUGAGGAAUAUUGGUCAAUGGGCGGAAGCCUGAACCAGCCAAGUAGCGUGCAGGAUGACGUCCCUAUGGGUUGUAAACUGCUUUUAUACAGGAAUAAAGUUAGCCACGUGUGGUUAUUUGUAGGUACUGUAUGAAUAAGGACCGGCUAAUUCCGUGCCAGCAGCCGCCGUAA
Molecule: ribosomal RNA, 506 nt
Filed under: uncultured bacterium
Lineage: Bacteria
Description: partial 16S ribosomal RNA
Rfam family: Bacterial small subunit ribosomal RNA
Source: RNAcentral